This 105-nucleotide small nuclear RNA is filed under the name Choloepus hoffmanni (Hoffmann's two-fingered sloth). Lineage: Eukaryota; Metazoa; Chordata; Mammalia; Pilosa; Megalonychidae. The record is from RNAcentral.
GUGCUCACUUCGGCAGCACAUAUACUAAAAUUGGAAUGAAACAGAAGAUUAGAAUAGCCCCUGUACAAGGAUGACACACAAAUUAGUGAAGCAUUCCAUUGAAAA